RNAcentral lists this ribosomal RNA (497 nucleotides) under uncultured bacterium. RNAcentral's name for it is "partial 16S ribosomal RNA". It matches the Rfam family "Bacterial small subunit ribosomal RNA", at positions 899 to 1397 of the family's 1533-position model. The record is from RNAcentral.
ACUCAAAGGAAUUGACGGGGACCCGCACAAGCGGUGGAGCAUGUGGUUUAAUUCGACGCAACGCGAAGAACCUUACCUGGGUUAAAUCAAGGGUGUAAGGCUGAGAGAUCAGUCCCCCGGGCAACCGGCGUCCUUGAAGGUGCUGCAUGGCUGUCGUCAGCUCGUGUCGUGAGAUGUUGGGUUAAGUCCCGCAACGAGCGCAACCCUUACCACUAGUUGCCAGCAUUUAGUUGGGCACUCUAGCGGAACUGCCGGUGAUAAACCGGAGGAAGGUGGGGAUGACGUCAAGUCAUCAUGGCCUCUAUGUCCAGGGCUACACACGUGCUACAAUGGCCGGUACAAAACGCUGCGAACUCGCGAGAGGGAGCCAAUCGGAAAAAGCCGGUCUCAGUUCGGAUUGGAGUCUGCAACUCGACUCCAUGAAGUUGGAAUCGCUAGUAAUCGCAGAUCAGCACGCUGCGGUGAAUACGUUCCCGGGUCUUGUACACACCGCCCGU